This 221-nucleotide long non-coding RNA is filed under the name Capsicum annuum. RNAcentral describes it as "long non-coding RNA (CANN_LNC010523)". The record is from RNAcentral. Lineage: Eukaryota; Viridiplantae; Streptophyta; Magnoliopsida; Solanales; Solanaceae.
AUUGACCAAUUUUAUUUAAAAUGAUUCAAAAUAAGCCAUUAUUAGAAAUAACUAUAUUGAUUUAACUAAAACUAAAGAUGAAUUAGUAAGUUCAAUUACGAUUUCAAUUAAUCUCAUGGUAAAAAUGGUGUAUUGAUAAAUGAUGAUUUGUUAUUGUUUCUAUUGAAUAAAUCUUACUAUUGAUUUAUUUUUUUAACAAAUGAACAAUCUGUUGCAACAAA